This is a long non-coding RNA of Lolium perenne, 1696 nucleotides long. RefSeq lists it as uncharacterized. Lineage: Eukaryota; Viridiplantae; Streptophyta; Magnoliopsida; Poales; Poaceae. The record is from RefSeq and is a predicted model, not a curated record.
CAAGCCCAAGCAUGAACCGUCGCAGCAUAGGCACGUAACGCAGUCAGUUUCUUGCGUUUUACUCCCGACUUGAUUUCGGGCGAUUUAAGCCACCAAUUGACGCACCGUUUCUUCCUACUUAAGCUCCAUUCUCUCCUCUCUAUUUCCCCCCAAACGGAACAUCCCGAGAGCCCCCAGGCUUCUCGAAUUUUAGCUCGCAAAUUCACUGUACCGGCGAGUUCCCGGGACAAAUUCGCGACCGAGCCAUAUUCAUCUGUGAGCACAUCCGCGGGGAAGUUUUUCGGCGAGUUUCCGGCGAGCGACUGCGCGUGAACCAGGGAGUAGAACACACCAUCGACCCUCCAUCAUUGUCAUCAGCUCGUCGAUUACCUCACGGACGUCGAGGACCAAACGCGAGUUCACCCACGAUCCAGGGCCAGGGAGCAACCUCUCCUCCAAUUGUGCUUGUGCUGAUUACAACGAGUGUUUCUGCGAAGAGUGUUCCAACUCCUCAUCUCACCAAGGCAAGUGACACACCCUCACAAAUGUCCUAGAUUUUAUUCAUUCACCGUAGUGAUUUUUGUAGUAAGUCUAGGGAUAUGCUUUGCUUUUGUAAUCCCAGUAGAUAGCUACUUCCACCUGACCAUAUUUUUGUCGCCAUUGAAUUUAGUUGCUGCUUAGCUAUGCUAUGAAAAUGUUUUAGUAGUGGUUAUGGAAAAACAACUAAAUUCAAUGAACUACCUGGGUGGAAUGUGGCUUUGAUUGGGUUAUGUUGAGUGGUUCCCUGGGGUCAUGUCGUCGAACCUCUGAACCGCCAGGUGUAUCGCACUUGUGGACGGCCACCCAGGAACAAAGAGAUAAUAGACAACCUUGCUCAUUAGCUUACCGUACAACCACAUGCUAUAUGGGCUCUGGCUUGACGGAGUAUGUUGUGUGAACCUGGACCCUAUGCGACAUGAUGAUGUAGGGGAAUGUAGGUUGGAGCGGGUCCGUAGAGGAUGGUCUGGGUGAUCACUUCGGAAAAGUCUCGUCCUAGUCGACAUCUGUCCAUUUGAGCAAAAUGUGCAUCAUGGAAGAAGAACAGACUAGGUCAUGUGGGUAAAUUUGUACAACCUCUGCAGAGUGUUAAAUCUAAGUACUUAGCCGUGUCCCCGGUUACGGACAAUUUGAGUGAACUGACAAGGAUCCUGUUCGAAAGUCUCCUCAUCCCAACUUCUUAAAUUAAAAUUUGAUGGGUGAACAAGGGUAGGAGGAAUUCACUGGUUUCCAUCAGUGGUAUUCCAGGUUCAUUGAUUUCUAUCAAUGGAACCGCCUAAUUAGAAGGGAAGAAAAUGGUUUGACAAUUGAUAGGAGAAAACUGGCUUUACGCAAAUCAUACCUGAGCUCUACUAGCCAAAUGUACACUUAAGUGUUAGGUUGCCAUUUGAGUCCACCAUAGUGUCAUCUUGCCAAUACAUUCAAAGUAUUGACCAUUCGUGGCUGUAACUUUUCAUGUUGCAGAUGUUUUGAAAGACGAGUGAGUUACGAUGAUUAGGGUUACGAGUCUAUCCUCGACAUGCUCGCCUGUGGCACAUGAAGACGAAGGACUCCAUGCUGUCUAAGUUUGUUCGUUGUGAAACUCUGAUGAUAUGCUAGCCUUGUGCUAUGCAAUUUGUAAUCCUUUAUGUAAAUUCUGGAUCAUACGAUGUAAUAAAGACCUUUGUAUCUUGGUAUUACA